Molecule: ribosomal RNA, 484 nt
Filed under: uncultured bacterium
Lineage: Bacteria
Description: partial 16S ribosomal RNA
Rfam family: Bacterial small subunit ribosomal RNA
Source: RNAcentral
AUUGAACGCUGGCGGCAGGCCUAACACAUGCAAGUCGAGCGAAUAAAGGAGGCUUUUUCCUGGCUUACGCGGGGGACGGGCGGGUAAUUCCUACGAAGCUGCCCGGUCUAUAGGAAUAACAUCCGGACAGGAGCCCUAAGCCCACAUCGGACAUUAUGUUGAACCGGGGGGUUCUUCGGUCAACGCCCUAUCAGCUGAGCCUAGGACGGAUUAGCUAGUUGGUGGGGUAACGGCCUACCAAGGCGACGAUCCGUAACUGGUCUGAGAGGAUGAUCAGCCACACUGGAACUGAGACACGGUCCAGACUCCUACGGGAGGCAGCAGUGGGGAAUAUUGCGCAAUGGGCGAAAGCCUGACCCAGCAAUGCCGCGUGUGUGAAGAAGGUCUUCGGAUCGUAAAGCACUUUAAGUAGGGAAGAAGGAAAGUAAGUGUAUCUCUGGCUGUCUUGACGUUACCAACAGAGAAAGCACCGGCUAACUUCGUG